GUUCGAGUGGCUUGGAGAGCCAUCUCAGAAUGGAGUUGGAGACACCUCAUAGCCAUCAUAUAGCAUUCUCUAUCUGGGUCGUAGUCGGCCACAUGAAGGGACCAUGUGCGAACCCAUUCAAGUCCUUCAGAUAUUUCAACGUUUCCUUCAAGCAAGCUAGAUACUAUGUAAGAGGGAUGUAUUGCUACUAGUAUGCAUGAAGCUGCAAAUAGGACAGCUCGCCUGACAUAUGCUUCCUUGUGAUGGCAUACCUCACUGGAUCUUAACAUA
RNAcentral lists this unclassified non-coding RNA (270 nucleotides) under Hevea brasiliensis (rubber tree). The record is from RNAcentral. Lineage: Eukaryota; Viridiplantae; Streptophyta; Magnoliopsida; Malpighiales; Euphorbiaceae.